CCGGAUAACCUGCGUGAUCAGCAAUGCCUCGAACCCACUUCUCAAGAAGGAGAUAAGAAAAAGGCCUCAAAUCCAAUCAAUCCUUCAGGUCCUAUCAAACGCGAUAGAGGUUUGCACCUAUUUGCAUGAGUACAGGAAUCUAAAAUACACACUAACAUAUCAUGAGUCCAAGCAUUAAAUACUAGGAGAAGUGUUCGCAACAUUCAUGGAGUUACACAACGAUGCACAAGUAAUGGUACAUCAACAUCAGAACUGCAUGUUUUAUUUUAGACAGAAUGCGUUAAGCUCCAAAUGCAAGAUAGAUAGAAGGCAUUCUGGUAUUACGUUUUUUUGCUUUGUUUCUACAUGGUUACUGGCAGCAGCAGCAGAGGCAGUCUAGGCAGCACUCGCAGGUCUCGAAGCAGCAGAAGCAGCAGCACAGGGCGAACAAGCUGCAAAAGGAAUUAGAUGUGUAGCAUGAUUAAAUCAAUAAGCCAAAUACAUGAAAUUUGGAAACCAGGAAGGAAUAAAAUAUGACAUGAUAACGAAAUAUGGCAUGCACUUUAUAGACAUUGUUAUAAGUUAGAUUAUUUUUGACUACCAUCAAUUGUUUUUUGUUUUGAAUUCUGUUUGGUAAUCUUGACAAACUUCAAAAUUUGUGUUAAUUAGCUGAAAGCGGAUUUAUGUGGACUUCGAAAUUUUGUCAUACAGUAUUUUUCUCCGACAUUACUUUUUUUUAAUUUAUUUUUAAAGAACAUUUUGCCUGUCAUGUCAGAUAUUAUUUUUCUAGACGUAUGCUAUUUCCUCAAACAAUUUAGCUGAGUUAGUGGUUACGUCGAUGAAGCGUUAUAUGGAUGUUCUCUAGACCAAAUAACUGGCUAUUCUCUUAUCAGCCAUAUGAUUCUCCUAAUCUUGGUCCAACUUUUGACCACAAGAUGAACCGCAUCACCAUAGAAUCAGUGAGAUAAGUCACAGGGGCACCGAAAUCACAACCGCCUAUAUUGUCCGGGUUUGAUACGUUUUGACUUAGAAUACCACAUUGCAUUAGUUACUGUAACGAGUGGGAAACCACCCAACCUCACGCGGAUUUCCGCUACUCUCAUUAAUUUGUCUCACGGCAAUCUAGUUCUGAGUUCUGACAUCUUAACUGUGACCACGUAGAGCCAAUAAAAAUCCUGGUAGCUGCAGCCAUGAAGACUACAAGAUAUUAAAACCUACCCCAACUACUCAAACUUGAAGGUGGGGCCUUACCAAAUGGAUGAGGUACGCUGGGAUUAUGGUGUCCAGGUGAGUGCCUUGCGUAGAAGGUAAAAUCGAAUGCCAUAAUUACAGAUAAAUGCAUGAUUAGCCCAAAAGUUGGAAGAAAUAAGAAGCAAUAUAAACCAAAUCUCACUUAUUUUAUUCUUGCUUUCAAAUAACAACAAUAUUUGCUUAUUUUAUUAUCCUUGAGGAUGGUUUAUUUGAUAUGAUUAUACAGGGCGUCAUUACUGCAGGAAACUAAGAAAGAGACGAGGAAAAAAGAACGUUUUAGAUUGACCUUCGGGUUUUUUUUCCCCUCUUCCUAUUUAAGAUAUUCUUAUGUUGUGUCAUAUUUCCGCCAAGACGACCCUAACCAAUCUCCACCCUCUGAUCGAUGUAACAAUACAUGCCUAUCCGCUAGACGGACGGCAGAUCUUCACCAUACACCAUGUCAAGGUGUGGAAUUGAUUCCUAGCAAUUACAUAAUAUUUUUUUUGAAAAAAAGGACAUCCGAUGAUCAUCGGACGGUGGCCGCCGCCCAAGAUAGAACUAAAAUCGAAAAAGCGAGAGAGAGAGAGAGAGAUACAAGGCAUAGAUGCAGCCCUUCNNN
Molecule: long non-coding RNA, 1828 nt
Filed under: Phoenix dactylifera (date palm)
Lineage: Eukaryota; Viridiplantae; Streptophyta; Magnoliopsida; Arecales; Arecaceae
Description: long non-coding RNA (PDAC_LNC005362)
Source: RNAcentral